Molecule: ribosomal RNA, 440 nt
Filed under: uncultured bacterium
Lineage: Bacteria
Description: partial 16S ribosomal RNA
Rfam family: Bacterial small subunit ribosomal RNA
Source: RNAcentral
CCUACGGGUGGCAGCAGUGGGGAAUAUUGCACAAUGGGGGAAACCCUGAUGCAGCGACGCCGCGUGCGUGAAGAAGUAUUUCGGUGUGUAAAGCUCUAUCAGCAGGGAAGAAAAUGACGGUACCUGAUUAAGAAGCCCCGGCUAACUACGUGCCAGCAGCCGCGGUAAUACGUAGGGGGCAAGCGUAAUCCGGAUUUACUGGGUGUAAAGGGGUCGUAGACGGCAGCACAAGUCUGGAGUGAAAUGCCGGGGCUUAACCCCGGAACUGCUGUGGAAACUGUGCAGCUAGAGUGCAGGAGAGGGAAGUGGAAUUCCUAGUGUAGCGGUGAAAUGCGUAGAUAUUAGGAGGAACACCAGUGGCGAAGGCGGCUUACUGGACUGUAACUGACGUUGAGGCUCGAAAGCGUGGGGAGCAAACAGGAUUAGAUACCCCAGUAGUC